UAGGGAAUCUUCCACAAUGGACGCAAGUCUGAUGGAGCAACGCCGCGUGAGUGAAGAAGGUUUUCGGAUCGUAAAGCUCUGUUGUUGGUGAAGAAGGAUAGAGGUAGUAACUGGCCUUUAUUUGACGGUAAUCAACCAGAAAGUCACGGCUAACUACGUGCCAGCAGCCGCGGUAAUACGUAGGUGGCAAGCGUUGUCCGGAUUUAUUGGGCGUAAAGCGAGCGCAGGCGGAAGAAUAAGUCUGAUGUGAAAGCCCUCGGCUUAACCGAGGAACUGCAUCGGAAACUGUUUUUCUUGAGUGCAGAAGAGGAGAGUGGAAUUCCAUGUGUAGCGGUGGAAUGCGUAGAUAUAUGGAAGAGCACCAGUGGCGAAGGCGACUCUCUGGUCUGCAACUGACGCUGAGGCUCGAAAGCAUGGGUAGCGAACAGG
RNAcentral lists this ribosomal RNA (429 nucleotides) under bacterium. RNAcentral's name for it is "partial 16S ribosomal RNA". It matches the Rfam family "Bacterial small subunit ribosomal RNA", at positions 355 to 776 of the family's 1533-position model. The record is from RNAcentral.